Molecule: ribosomal RNA, 253 nt
Filed under: uncultured bacterium
Lineage: Bacteria
Description: partial 16S ribosomal RNA
Rfam family: Bacterial small subunit ribosomal RNA
Source: RNAcentral
UACGGAGGGUGCAAGCGUUAUCCGGAUUCACUGGGCGUAAAGGGUGCGUAGGCGGUCGGGUAAGUCUGACGUGAAAUCUCCGGGCCUAACCCGGAAACUGCGUCGGAUACUAUCCGGCUAGAGGAUUGGAUGGGAGACUGGAAUACUUGGUGUAGCAGUGAAAUGCGUAGAUAUCAAGUGGAACACCAGUGGCGAAGGCGAGUCUCUGGACAAUUCCUGACGCUGAGGCACGAAAGCCAGGGGAGCAAACGGG